Molecule: ribosomal RNA, 319 nt
Filed under: uncultured Pseudomonadota bacterium
Lineage: Bacteria; Pseudomonadati; Pseudomonadota
Description: bacterial SSU rRNA
Rfam family: Bacterial small subunit ribosomal RNA
Source: RNAcentral
AUUGAACGCUGGCGGCAUGCCUAACACAUGCAAGUCGAACGGUAACAGGCCUUCGGGCGCUGACGAGUGGCGGACGGGUGAGUAAUGCAUGGGAAUCUGCCUGAUAGUGGGGGACAACCUGGGGAAACUCAGGCUAAUACCGCAUAAGCCCUACGGGGGAAAGCAGGGGAUCUUCGGACCUUGCGCUAACAGAUGAGCCCAUGUCGGAUUAGCUAGUUGGUAGGGUAAAGGCCUACCAAGGCGACGAUCCGUAGCUGGUCUGAGAGGACGACCAGCCACACUGGGACUGAGACACGGCCCAGACUCCUACGGGAGGCAG